GGGCCCUACGGGGGGCAGCAGUGGGGAAUAUUGGGCAAUAGGCGCAAGCCUGACCCAGCAACGCCGCGUGAAGGAAGAAGGCUUUCGGGUUGUAAACUUCUUUUAUCAGGGACGAAGCAAGUGACGGUACCUGAUGAAUAAGCCACGGCUAACUACGUGCCAGCAGCCGCGGUAAUACGUAGGUGGCAAGCGUUAUCCGGAUUUACUGGGUGUAAAGGGCGUGGAGGCGGGAGUGCAAGGCAGAUGUGAAAACAAUGGGCUCAAACCAUAGCCUGCAUGUGAAACUGUACUUC
Molecule: ribosomal RNA, 293 nt
Filed under: uncultured bacterium
Lineage: Bacteria
Description: partial 16S ribosomal RNA
Rfam family: Bacterial small subunit ribosomal RNA
Source: RNAcentral